UACAGAGGGUGCGAGCGUUAAUCGGAAUUACUGGGCGUAAAGCGCACGUAGGUGGCGACGUAAGUCGGGUGUGAAAGCCCCGGGCUCAACCUGGGAAUUGCAUUCGAGACUGCAUUGCUGGAGUACGGAAGAGGAGGGCGGAAUUCCCGGUGUAGCGGUGAAAUGCGUAGAUAUUCGGAAGAACACCAGUGGCGAAGGCGGCUCACUGGUCCGGUACUGACGCUGAGGUGCGAAAGCGUGGGGAGCAAACAGG
Molecule: ribosomal RNA, 253 nt
Filed under: uncultured bacterium
Lineage: Bacteria
Description: partial 16S ribosomal RNA
Rfam family: Bacterial small subunit ribosomal RNA
Source: RNAcentral